Molecule: long non-coding RNA, 4715 nt
Filed under: Cricetulus griseus (Chinese hamster)
Lineage: Eukaryota; Metazoa; Chordata; Mammalia; Rodentia; Cricetidae
Description: lncRNA (ENSCGRG00015038029.1)
Source: RNAcentral
CCGAGCUAACAUGGGGUUAGCUCGUUAAAUUACAAUAAAGCCUCAUGCAGUUUGCAUCAAGCUUUCGCCUCCAUUCUGUGUUUGGGGUGGCCGCCCUCCUGGGCUAAGAUUCUGGAAGCCUCAGCUUUCUGAGGGUCUUACACUGGGAUGAAAGAGCACACCACGCCAGGACUCAUGUGCUUGUCACUGUUGAGCCCCCCACCCCUGCCACCCCCAGCCUGGUGGAUGUUCAUGAAGUCCCUGCUUACCUGGACUUCUGCAUGACACGAGGUGGCUUCUCAAACCUUGGUUUCUAGUGAUGCCACAGAAGCACUGCUGAAUGUCCUAAGGCCUGCGGUUUGCUGAAUAAAACCAGAGUAUUGUGGACGGGUAGAAUUAACAAUAAAAUCUCUUCCCAAUCCAGGAAAGCAUUCCAUGAAGGUGACAGGAGAAUCUUCUUGUUGCAUGAACAAAACCACAAGGUGCAUCUCAGGCGGCUGUUGAUGGAACGGGAAGGCUCCCUCUCACGUGGCUGUUGGGAAGAUUUGAGUCAGGCAAACCACAGAAGCCAUAGCGUGGUCUAGCCAGUGGGUCCUGAACUUGAGUGCAGCCUCCAAGAAAGCCAGCACACAGACCCUUUGAGGAGCUCUUACAAGAAUGGGACCCCCCCAGCUGACCCUCCAACCUGCCACCUCCCUCUUCAGACGCUCGCCCACCCCAGUCUUUCCAGGCCUUCUCAUUCUUCUUCAUGAAGCCGUUUCUUUUCUUUCUUUUUUUUUUUAAUUUUAUUUAUUUAUUAUGUAUACAGCAUUCUGCUUCCAUGUAUAUCUGCACACCAGAAGAGGGCACCAGAUCUCAUAACGGAUGGUUGUGAGCCACCAUGUGGUUGCUGGGAAUUGAACUCAGGACCUCUGGAAGAGCAGCCAGUGCUCUUAACCUCUGAGCCCUCUCUCCAGCUCCGAUGACGUUUCUUUCCAGGCUGAGCUUAGUGGGUGUGCACCUGCAAUUUUCCUGUACACAGCAAAUUGGGGACCAGCCCAGCUACAUCUGACCUGUCUCAAAAACAAACAGGUAGGGGGGUGUUGAAGAUGGCUCCAUGAGCAGUCACCAAGCUGAGGACCUGAGUUUGAUUCCUGGGAUCCAUAUGGUAGAAGAGAACCAACUCCUGCAAGUUGCCCGCUGAUCCCUGCACAUGUAUGUGGCACUCAUGAGUGUGCUCUUGCACAUGUGUACAUAUAUAUACAAGAUAAAUGUUGAUUUUUUUUUUAAAUUUACUUUCCACCUAAACCCAGAGGCACCAACCCUGGGUUUUUUGGUUUUUUAUUGGGGAGGGGUGGUUUUCAAAACAGAGUUUCUCUGUAUGGCUUUGGAGGCUGUCCUGGAACUUGCUCUGUAGACCAGGCUGGCCUCGAACUCAUAGAGACCCAUCUGCCUCUGCCUCCUGAGUGUCAGGAUUAAAGGUCUAUGCCACUACUGCCCAGCCUAGAAUUUUCAUUCUUUGGGGUGGGGAGGCAUCGUGAGUGCUGGGGACAGAUUCUGGGACCUUGCACAUCCUAGGCACGUGCCCUGCCUGUCUAAGCAUGCCCCAACCUUGUUUGUUUUCAGACACUACAGGAAAGGGGCCGAAUUCUAUUGUGUGGUGACCCCUACCCAGGGGUCAGGCAGCCUUCGGCUGGGGUCUGAGACUCCACAGCUCUGUAGCACAAGCGGGGAUCAGAGCUGGGACGAGGCCAAAGGCAAAGGCAACCAGGAGAAGCAGAGUGGCUUUUCUCUGUGAAGGUCAAAUCCCAGGAGCUCAGGCUGGACUCAGCUUUUAGCUCUCAUUACUCUGAAGGUCAGAUAACAACUUAUCUUUGGCCUGGUGACAGGGAAACCAGUGUAGGUGACUUGGGUUUGGUCUGGUCCUUUGGAGCAGAACACCUCAGGCAGACCAAUGGUGUCCCUCUGUCUCCCUUGCUGGAAGGAAAGCAAUCCUGUGACAGCCAGAGCUGGGGCCUCAUCCAGGGCAUCCUCCCUCCUCCCUCCCUCCUCCCUCUCCCUCCCUCCCUCCCUCCCUCUCUCCCUAUUUCCCUCUCUCUCCCCUUCUCCUUGUGUCCUCCAGGGCCUGUAUCUUGUGAGCUUCCUUGCCUCCUCCUAGGGAGUCCUGCAGCUUGUCUUGGCCCUGAUGGCUUCUGAUGCUGGUUCCCCCUUGUCCUCUGUGGCUACACUAUCCUCUGUCUCUUAGCUGACUAACCUUCCCUAUGGCAGAGUUCUUUUUGCGACCCUUCCUCUGUUGGCGCCCAAACUCUGAGCCUCCCAAAUCACCAAGAGACCCAAUCCAAUGCAAAAACAAAGUCUUUUGUUUUCCGAGUUAACUUGGGUUCCCAGGUCCAGUCCCUCCUGCUUCACCUCUGAGUUAACUCAUAAAUUACAAAGACUCUUUGCUUUUGCAUCGGAGAUGGUCUCUUGGUGGUUCUGGGGGUUCAGAGUCUGGGCACAAUAAGACAUGUGUCUAACUACUUACGUAUUUGCUAAUUGCUCAACACAAAGCUUCUAGGAAAUUCAGAUAGUAACAACAUAUAUUUUAUAAAUAAGGUAUAUCUGAUAAGUAAGAUGUAUAAAUUUCUAAGAUCUGCUCAGGGUCACAGUAAUAUUUGUGUAGCUUCUUUGUCUUUGCUCACUUUGUUUUAAGAUUGUUCUGUGUGGACAAACUAAGUCAUUCAAAAAAUAAAAACUCCUGUGUUAGUCUAUAAUGGUGAUUAUAGGUUUAUAUCGAUACUAAAAGAGCUUCAAUUCAAAAAUUGUUAUUUUUUUUAAGGCUAAUCCUAACAGGGAUAAAAUGUGAAGUCCUAAUCUUUUAAAAACAAAACCUACUCACUUAUUGUAAAUUGUUAGAUAAUUAACACAUGCAAGUUAAUGGUCUAUCACCUUAUAAAUGAUCAAAUUCUUUAAUAUAUUCAGAACUAGGAUACUGAUCAUGUUGAAUAUUAAUGUAAUUACAGGAAUAAGCUCUGUUUAGCUUCCUGUAUAUGUUUUCAAAGUCAAGCCUAAAACAUGUAGCUAGAAACAAGCAAAAUUUGCUUAGUUUAGAUAUACUUAAUUGAUAGUGGUACUCAAAACUCCUCAGAGAUCUGGAGAAUAUGGCAUUUAAAAUGUUUAAUGGAAAAGGCACCCUGUGGUGGGGAGAAGUGCCAGCCCCCGGCCAGAACACAGAAGUUUCCAAGGAAGACGAUGGGCGCAGAGGAACUCCGCCUGGAGCUGCUUUGAAUGCAACAGUGUUGGCCACUGGGUAAAAACUACCCUUCCCCUUAGCCACCAUCAGGAUCCUGCCCACACUGUGGGCAAGCAGGACCCUGGGGACUUGACUGCUCCACUUUGCCUACACGAGGCUGAAGACUGAUACUGCCCUGGGACUUCCGUCCCCAACAAAAUCAAGAUGACCAUGGAGGAAUGUAAGUUGAGUGUACAGGUAACUGACAAGUCUUUGUCAUUUUUAAUAGAUUUGGGAACAGCUUGUUCCCGUACUUCCUGCUUCCUAAUUCAUCCCUCUCAGAUCUCUGAUGGUGUUGGUGACAGCUGGUGGUAGCUUUGUCAGCAACCAAGGCUUCAGCUGUCUUCUCAGUUCGCUUCGUACGCAACAAUCAGGCCUCAGGCUUCAGUUUCCUAGAGCAAUUACUAGGUCUAGACACAGUUUACCUUGUUAGUUACUAGAUUCUGAAAAGACAGAAACUCACAAAUCAGAUUUCAAUGUAAUGUUUCAUUACUUCUUUAUGUUUCUUAAUGAUUAUUUUGGUACUAUCCCUUUAUUUACAGGAACUUGCUUUACAAUGAUUGCUUUCAGUGGUCAACCACCUGUCUCAUGGUAAAUGACUGAAUAAAAAAGUUGGAAGGGUCUGUAAGUUCUGAGGGGCUAAGACAGUGUUUAAGGUGACCACAGACUGAGUGUUAUGAGCACAGUACCAAGUGGGACCUUCAGCGGAUCCCAUGGGGGGUGAAGGGACAAAUGGUGGGUGAGAGACACUGCCUCCCAGCUUAAAGAGACCUUUUAUGCCUGUGUACAGAGCCAGGGGUGACUCUGCCAAGUGUGCAGGGGUGGUACACUCGGCCGUGUCCCAAAGGGGUGGGGCCAGGUUUUCCUGGAUUAUAGCACUGAGGACAUGAAAGCUUACGUUGUGAGGGUCUAAGAAAAUGUUCUGGGGUCUAAGAAGGUGUUUCAAUGUGUGUAAAUGUAAUUUGCAAAGGUAUAAGAAAGUAAAUUAAGGUACAAAAAAAUGAGAAAUGCUUCAGAUUUUUUUCUUGCUUUGCUACUGUUAUACCAAGAUGAUGGGGGAAGUACUUCUGUAUAUGUUUAUCUUAUUGAUUGUUGAAUAAAAUACAGUUUGGCCAAUGAGACAGCAAGUUAGACGGGACUAGGAGUCAAAGAGGAUUCUGGGAAAUGUAGUAGAGAAGUGGUGAUCCAGGCAGGAAGUGACAUAGCAAGGAGACUCGUAUUUAAGCGAAGGAGAAGCAGGAAGGGUCCCUUUUCCCCUUGCUCUUCCAGCAGCACGAUGUGAUCCACUGGCAAGGAGGGACGCCAAUAAGGUGUCCGAUAAGUCUUAUAAAAUAUAUAGGUUUAUGAUAGUUAAGACUGAGCUAACAGAUGAGAAUCCUAGUCAUUGGCCAAGCAGCAUUGAACCUAAUACAAGUUUCUGUGUAUUCAUUUGGGCCUAACUCAGGCGGGCAGCUGGUGUACGUAAAGCUCACAAGUGGUGGUGGGG